GGCGAGAUAGCUCAGCAGGUAGAGCACCGCCCUGAAGAGGCGGGUGUCCUCGGUUCGAGUCCGAGUCUCGCCACCA
This 76-nucleotide transfer RNA is filed under the name Candidatus Saccharibacteria bacterium QS_5_54_17. RNAcentral describes it as "tRNA-Phe". It matches the Rfam family "tRNA". Rfam says of the family: Transfer RNA (tRNA) molecules are approximately 80 nucleotides in length. Their secondary structure includes four short double-helical elements and three loops (D, anti-codon, and T loops). Further hydrogen bonds mediate the characteristic L-shaped molecular structure. tRNAs have two regions of fundamental functional importance: the anti-codon, which is responsible for specific mRNA codon recognition, and the 3' end, to which the tRNAs corresponding amino acid is attached (by aminoacyl-tRNA synthetases). tRNAs cope with the degeneracy of the genetic code in two manners: having more than one tRNA (with a specific anti-codon) for a particular amino acid; and 'wobble' base-pairing, i.e. permitting non-standard base-pairing at the 3rd anti-codon position. The record is from RNAcentral. Lineage: Bacteria; Candidatus Saccharimonadota.